UGUAAACGAUUUUGUAAAAAGUUUCUUUAAAGAAAAAGAACAACUCUGGUCAUCUAAUCAGACUUCCUUGCACAUAAAGGAUUUUCUAUCUGCAAUAAACAAACUGGGAUACACACACACACACACACACACGCACACACACACACACACACACACACACACACAUAUUAUAUGCAAGAAGAAACUUGUAGACCAGCAUUUAUCUGUCCCUGCAGUUGGCAUAAAACAGCUGGCCAGAGUUGCAAGUAAACGAGUGUGCGAUUUUAAAAUAAUUUGGAAAAACGGAGCUCAGCUUGAAAUUUCU
RNAcentral lists this long non-coding RNA (304 nucleotides) under Rattus norvegicus (Norway rat). RNAcentral's name for it is "long non-coding RNA NONRATT019352". The record is from RNAcentral. Lineage: Eukaryota; Metazoa; Chordata; Mammalia; Rodentia; Muridae.